GUGCCAGCAGCCGCGGUAAGACGUAGGGGGCCAGCGUUGCUCGGAAUUACUGGGCGUAAAGGGUUCGUAGGCGGUGCGGCAAGUCGGUAGUGAAAUCUCCAGGCUUAACUUGGAGGCUGCUGCCGAAACUGCUGUGCUAGAGUGCGGGAGAGGCGAGUGGAAUUACAGGUGUAGCGGUGAAAUGCGUAGAUAUCAGGAGGAACACCUGUGGCGAAAGCGGCUCACUGGACCAUAACUGACGCUGAGGCACGAAAGCGUGGGGAGCGAUCCGGAUUAGAAACCCUCGUAGUCC
Molecule: ribosomal RNA, 292 nt
Filed under: uncultured bacterium
Lineage: Bacteria
Description: partial 16S ribosomal RNA
Rfam family: Bacterial small subunit ribosomal RNA
Source: RNAcentral